RNAcentral lists this ribosomal RNA (1151 nucleotides) under Tetragenococcus halophilus. RNAcentral describes it as "bacterial SSU rRNA". It matches the Rfam family "Bacterial small subunit ribosomal RNA", at positions 34 to 1161 of the family's 1533-position model. The record is from RNAcentral. Lineage: Bacteria; Bacillati; Bacillota; Bacilli; Lactobacillales; Enterococcaceae.
CGCUGGCGGCGUGCCUAAUACAUGCAAGUCGAACGCUGCUUAAAAAGAAACUUCGGUUUUUUCUUAAGCGGAGUGGCGGACGGGUGAGUAACACGUGGGGAACCUAUCCAUCAGCGGGGGAUAACACUUGGAAACAGGUGCUAAUACCGCAUACGGCUUUUUUNCACCUGAAAAAAANCUCAAAGGCGCUUUACANCNUCACUGAUGGCUGGNCCCGCGGUGCNUUACCCAUUUGGUGAGGUANCGGCNCACCAAANCANCAAUGCNUACCCNACCUGAAAGGGUGAUCGGCCACNCUGGGACUGAAACACGGCCCAAACNCCUACGGGAGGCAGCANUAGGGAANCUNCGGCAAUGGACGCAAGUCUGACCGAGCAACGCCGCGUGAGUGAAGAAGGUNUUCGGAUCGUAAAGCUCUGUUGUCAGCAAAGAACAGGAGAAAGAGGAAAUGCUUUUUCUAUGACGGUAGCUGACCAGAAAGCCACGGCUAACUACGUGCCAGCAGCCGCGGUAAUACGUAGGUGGCAAGCGUUGUCCGGAUUUAUUGGGCGUAAAGCGAGCGCAGGCGGUGAUUUAAGUCUGAUGUGAAAGCCCCCAGCUCAACUGGGGAGGGUCAUUGGAAACUGGAUCACUUGAGUGCAGAAGAGGANAGUGGAAUUCCAUGUGUAGCGGUGAAAUGCGUNGAUAUAUGGAGGAACACCAGUGGCGAAGGCGGCUCUCUGGUCUGUAACUGACGCUGAGGCUCGAUAGCGUGGGUAGCAAACAGGAUUAGAUACCCUGGUAGUCCACGCCGUAAACNAUGAGUGCUAAGUGUUGGAGGGUUUCCGCCCUUCAGUGCUGCAGUUAACGCAUUAAGCACUCCGCCUGGGGAGUACGACCGCAAGGUUGAAACUCAAAGGAAUUGACGGGGGCCCGCACAAGCGGUGGAGCAUGUGGUUUAAUUCGAAGCAACGCGAAGAACCUUACCAGGUCUUGACAUCCUUUGACCGCCCUAGAGAUAGGGUUUCCCCUUCGGGGGCAAAGUGACAGGUGGUGCAUGGUUGUCGUCAGCUCGUGUCGUGAGAUGUUGGGUUAAGUCCCGUAACGAGCGCAACCCUUAUUGUUAGUUGCCAGCAUUGAGUUGGGCACUCUAGCAAGACUGCCGGUGACAA